RNAcentral lists this microRNA (20 nucleotides) under Drosophila erecta. RNAcentral describes it as "miR-310b-RA". The record is from RNAcentral. Lineage: Eukaryota; Metazoa; Arthropoda; Insecta; Diptera; Drosophilidae.
UAUUGCACACUUCCCGCUCU